This 504-nucleotide ribosomal RNA is filed under the name uncultured bacterium. RNAcentral's name for it is "partial 16S ribosomal RNA". It matches the Rfam family "Bacterial small subunit ribosomal RNA", at positions 30 to 523 of the family's 1533-position model. The record is from RNAcentral.
AUUGAACGCAGGCGGCAGGCCUAACACAUGCAAGUCGAGCGGUAACACAGAGAGCUUGCUCUCGGGUGACGAGCGGCGGACGGGUGAGUAAUGUCUGGGAAACUGCCUGAUGGAGGGGGAUAACUACUGGAAACGGUAGCUAAUACCGCAUAACGUCGCAAGACCAAAGAGGGGGACCUUCGGGCCUCUUGCCAUCAGAUGUGCCCAGAUGGGAUUAGCUAGUAGGUGGGGUAACGGCUCACCUAGGCGACGAUCCCUAGCUGGUCUGAGAGGAUGACCAGCCACACUGGAACUGAGACACGGUCCAGACUCCUACGGGAGGCAGCAGUGGGGAAUAUUGCACAAUGGGCGCAAGCCUGAUGCAGCCAUGCCGCGUGUAUGAAGAAGGCCUUCGGGUUGUAAAGUACUUUCAGCGGGGAGGAAGGCGAUAAGGUUAAUAACCUUGUCGAUUGACGUUACCCGCAGAAGAAGCACCGGCUAACUCCGUGCCAGCCGCCGCGGUAA